Molecule: long non-coding RNA, 2296 nt
Filed under: Nicotiana tabacum (common tobacco)
Lineage: Eukaryota; Viridiplantae; Streptophyta; Magnoliopsida; Solanales; Solanaceae
Description: long non-coding RNA (NTAB_LNC015847)
Source: RNAcentral
AACUGGUUUUGAAGAUUAGUUAAUCUUGAUUAAUUAGCUGGAGCAACGGUAACAUUGUCUCUUUGUGACCUAUAGGUUACAGGUUCGAGCUUUAGAAUCAAGUCGUUUAUGUUUGCGUUAAGGUAGGUUGUCGGCUCUUACCCUAACCCUGUGUGAAUGCGGGAUAUUUGUACGCCGGUUGCCCUUUUAUUUUUAUUUUUUAUUUUUUAAAUUGGAUUAAUGGGUUAAUUUUUGUAAGUUAUUAUAGGGUGGAUUGAUCCUCUAGUUUUGAUGGUUAUCUUUUAGCUGUGACUUCAAUUCAGAGGAUCUAAUGUAAUGUAAGAUUGUGUUGCAUAUUCACAUUUCUUUCCUUAGAUUUUGCAUAAUCCUUUGGAUUUUUGAAUGGAAUAUCAGUCCGAGGGAUUAGUUUGUAAUUUUAAACUUGAUGAGUUUUGGAUUUGUACUGUGGAAUCUCACCUAAUUAAUUUAUUUUUCUUUGAUUAAUAUAAUGUUAUUCACCUUUCUCUCUUUCAUGUAGAUAGAAACCUUUUGCUUUAUGACUUUGAUUUGCUUUUCACCAAAAGCCAUAUAAAAGAAAAGGAUAUUAUUAACAUAUAUUGCAUGUUAGAAAUGCACUAAUUAACAUGUUCAUAAUUUUGGUUUAGUUGCUUUUGCUUCUUGUUUUUGUAAAUAAACUUUUGUGUUAACAUGGAAAUAAAUGAGAAAACUAUGUAAGUUUGUAUUAGAAAAUUCAUAAAUAUUUCAUUAUAAAAUUACUAAUAAAUAAGUUAUAUGUUCAAUGGCAAGUUCUUAACGCAUAAAUUUUAAAUUUUGGCACCGUUUCUAAUUUGUAUUAGAAAGAGAGAUAUAUUAUGGCCUCGUUUGUUUGUACUUAAUGGAGGUCUGAAUAUUAAUCAUCUAGAUCUCAGUCAUUAAGUAUGUUUUUUACUUCUGAAUCUUAAUCAUUCAGAUCUUAACCAUCAAGUUUGUUUGCUUUUUCAAUUUUACAACCGCUUAACGAGUCUGAAUAGAUCAUCAUGAUUAAGAUAUAUAAUAGAGUCUUAAUAUCAUUAAGAUUUUAUACAUUUAAAAAUUUAUGUAAAAAUAAUAUUUCACUAUUACUCCUACACUUUCAUCAUUAAUCAUCAUCACCACUGCUAUCAAUGUCCCCCACUAUUAUACACUACCACCAACCUCAGCUACAAGCACCACCGCUACUAAGCACGAACGUCAGUUGUCACUACCGCUAGCCAUCAUUUACAUCUAUCACCACCAACCACCAUUACCACAACAAUUAUCAAUUACCAAUAUUAACAACCACUAUAUAUCACCCAUCAUUGUUAUCAGUCACCAUGCCACCAUCGUUAACCACUAUUGGCAUUCACAUCUACUAACCAUAAUCACCACAAUCAACCAGCAUCACCACCAGCUAUCACCUAGUUGAUGGCAUUCACAUGUAGUAUUAGAUUAAUUAGAACUAUUUGAUUUGAAGUUAGACUUAUUAAUUUUUAAAUAAAGACAAGUUUUAUACCUUAAAAAACAAACAGACUUAAUUAUUCAGUAUUCAGAUCUUAAUAUAAUAUUUUAAUAUUCAGAUGCGUAUUUAAAUUUAAAUAUUUUAAUCUUAAUACACAUAUUAAUAUUUAGAUGUGUAUUAAUCUUAAUCUUACUAAAAACAAAUAAGGCCCAGUAGACGUUUUGGAUAGUAUUUAGUGGUAGGUAAGAAAGCAACAUGUUAACUUGGACAAUCCUUUGAAGCAAAAAUUCACACGCUAACUAAACACCCACCCCAUCCCCACCCCCACACCCCUAAAGGGAGGAAAUUUUAUUUUUAUUUAUCUUCAAAGAAAUGGUAACUUGGCUUGUUUGUUUGGAUAUGGACAAAUUUGUAUCGUGUAUGAGUUGUAAUUUAUACAGAUAAUGUAUACCAAUAAAUAAAUUGACCUUAUGCAUUUGUAAUUCCUGAAUACUGAAAUUGAGGUCAUAUUUCAAAGUUUGAACACACUUCUAUCCUUUUCCCAUCUCUCAUCUUAUUUUAGGACCAUAGUUUUUUAUUUUCUACAGCCUGGUAUUGCAUGUACUUUCAUGUGUUUGUCUAUGACACAUUCUUCUCAAACCUUGUCACUUGGAUUUUCUUUUUUUUAAUCAAACAGCCAAUUAUUACUCGUCAGCUCAUUUUCCAAAAAUAAAAAUAAAAAUACAUUAAAAUAUUUUAUCUUUAUAUUCUACAAUAUUUUAGAGUUUACCGUGAUUCUCUUAUCAAUCAGUCAUAAUUUUGAUUCGAGUCUAAAAUAGUUGGUAUCAGUUAUAUGAAUAC